UAUCUCAAAAAAUUUUGAUGAGACCAUCUGACUCAACCUCCUUCCAACUAACAACCUCAGCCACAAUCUGAGAAAGCAAUCGACAAUCAACUAAUGAUGAGAGUAAUCAAUAUGAUUUUCAGACGAUCAAAAGAUUGGGGGGCAACUUUUGAAGAAGAGCCGGCUAAAAAGCAAUGACUCGAUAAUGUAAUCUCUUUUUCAAAUGAAGAUGUUCGGAGAAUCCCCAUG
Molecule: long non-coding RNA, 228 nt
Filed under: Elaeis guineensis (African oil palm)
Lineage: Eukaryota; Viridiplantae; Streptophyta; Magnoliopsida; Arecales; Arecaceae
Description: long non-coding RNA (EGUI_LNC011963)
Source: RNAcentral